This 206-nucleotide long non-coding RNA is filed under the name Carica papaya (papaya). Its description in RNAcentral is "long non-coding RNA (CPAP_LNC016125)". Lineage: Eukaryota; Viridiplantae; Streptophyta; Magnoliopsida; Brassicales; Caricaceae. The record is from RNAcentral.
UGAGCUUGCAUGGGUUGGGCCUAGUUUGUGCAGCUACUACUGCUGCAUGGGUUGGGACUAAUUUUUGCAGCUACUGCUGCUACAUGGGCUUGGACUGCAGGUUACAUGAAUUGGGUUGCAGGUCACGCUACUGGGUGAAGUGGGCCACGGGGGUUGCAUGUGCGCUGGUUGUUAGGUGUGCAAUUUGUUGUUUGCUCACAAGCACG